Molecule: ribosomal RNA, 334 nt
Filed under: uncultured eukaryote
Lineage: Eukaryota
Description: partial 18S ribosomal RNA
Rfam family: Eukaryotic small subunit ribosomal RNA
Source: RNAcentral
CCCUUAGAUGUCCGGGGCCGCACGCGCGCUACACUGAAGGAAUCAGCGUGGCUUUCUCCCUGACCCGAAAGGGUUGGGAAACCCGUUGAAUCUCCUUCGUGAUAGGGAUUGGGGCUUGAAAUUGAUCCCCAUGAACGAGGAAUUCCCAGUAAGCGCGAGUCAUAAGCUCGCGUUGAUUACGUCCCUGCCCUUUGUACACACCGCCCGUCGCUACUACCGAUUGAACGGUUUAGUGAGGGCCUCGGAUUGGUCUCGGCCCGCUCUUUACCGGGCGGCGCCGUUGGUCGAGAAGACGCUCGAACUUGAUCGUUUAGAGGAAGUAAAAGUCGUAACA